GGUGUGUACUGGUCUUGAUGGAAGCUUACCUCUUGGUGGGUCGGCAUGCCCUUCGUUGGGUGUGUCGAUUAACCAGGACUUUUACUUUGAGAAAAUUAGAGUGUUCAAAGCAGGCUUUCGCCCGAAUACAUUAGCAUGGAAUAAUAGAAUAGGACGCGCGUCUUUAUUUUGUUGGUUUCUAAAUUCGCCGUAAUGAUUAAUAGGGAUAGUCGGGGGCAUUCGUAUUGCUUGGUCAGAGGUGAAAUUCUUGGAUUCUAGCAAGACGAACUACUGCGAAAGCAUUUGCCAAGGAUGUUUUCAUUGAUCAAGAACGAAGGUUAGGGGAUCGAAAACGAUCAGAUACCGUUGUAGUCUUAACAGUAAACUAUGCCGACUAGGGAUCGGACAAGCACAAUCUAUGACUUGUUCGGCACCUGAAGAGAAAUCUUUAAGUCUAGGUUCGGGGGGGAGUAUGGUCGCAAGGCUGAAACUUAAAGGAAUUGACGGAAGGGCACCACCAGGUGUGGAGCCUGCGGCUUAAUUUGACUCAACACGGGGAAACUCACCAGGUCCAGACACAAUAAGGAUUGACAGAUUGAUAGCUCUUUCUUGAUCUUGUGGUUGGUGGUGCAUGGGCCGUUCUUAGUUGGUGGAGUGAUUUGUCUGGGUUAAUUCCGAUAACGAACGAGACCUCAACCUCCUAAAUAGACCCGGGGCCUUAGGGAACCGGCUGUCUUUUUAGAGGGACGGUAGG
RNAcentral lists this ribosomal RNA (733 nucleotides) under uncultured eukaryote. RNAcentral describes it as "SSU rRNA". It matches the Rfam family "Eukaryotic small subunit ribosomal RNA", at positions 671 to 1426 of the family's 1831-position model. The record is from RNAcentral.